UCAAUAAGCGGAGGAAAAGAAACCAACAGGGAUUGCCCUAGUAACGGCGAGUGAAGCGGCAACAGCUCAAAUUUGAAAUCUGGCUUCGGCCCGAGUUGUAAUUUGCAGAGGAAGCUUUAGGCGCGGCACCUUCUGAGUCCCCUGGAACGGGGCGCCAUAGAGGGUGAGAGCCCCGUAUAGUUGGAUGCCUAGCCUGUGUAAAGCUCCUUCGACGAGUCGAGUAGUUUGGGAAUGCUGCUCAAAAUGGGAGGUAAAUUUCUUCUAAAGCUAAAUACCGGCCAGAGACCGAUAGCGCACAAGUAGAGUGAUCGAAAGAUGAAAAGCACUUUGAAAAGAGGGUUAAAUAGCACGUGAAAUUGUUGAAAGGGAAGCGCUUGUGACCAGACUUGCGCCGGGCGGAUCAUCCGGUGUUCUCACCGGUGCACUCCGCCCGGCUCAGGCCAGCAUCGGUUCUCGCGGGGGGAUAAAGGUCCUGGGAACGUAGCUCCUCCGGGAGUGUUAUAGCCCGGGGCGUAAUGCCCUCGCGGGGACCGAGGUUCGCGCAUCUGCAAGGAUGCUGGCGUAAUGGUCAUC
Molecule: ribosomal RNA, 573 nt
Filed under: Chaetomium meridionalense
Lineage: Eukaryota; Fungi; Ascomycota; Sordariomycetes; Sordariales; Chaetomiaceae
Description: partial large subunit ribosomal RNA
Rfam family: Eukaryotic large subunit ribosomal RNA
Source: RNAcentral